This is a long non-coding RNA of Thalassophryne amazonica, 80 nucleotides long. RefSeq lists it as uncharacterized. The transcript is spliced from 3 exons. The record is from RefSeq and is a predicted model, not a curated record. Lineage: Eukaryota; Metazoa; Chordata; Actinopteri; Batrachoidiformes; Batrachoididae.
AUGAAUAUGUUAACUAAAUGCUAAGGAAUACAAUUAUAGUGUGUCAAAGAAAAUUAUUUUUAUGACUUAAAUCUUAAAAA